This 2275-nucleotide small RNA is filed under the name Rattus norvegicus (Norway rat). Its description in RNAcentral is "uncharacterized LOC102549964". The record is from RNAcentral. Lineage: Eukaryota; Metazoa; Chordata; Mammalia; Rodentia; Muridae.
CUGGGAUUCACCAUUUAGACAGAUGGGACUUUGGGCAAGUUCCUGGAGCGGUCUGAGCCUCAGAAAUGGAAAUGCGGAAUACAAAUGAGACACUACGUGUUACAUUCUUGUAAAGGAUCGAAUGGGCCAAGGUCCAGAAAAGAUGUGGGCAAACCCCUACCCGCACCCUAACCCCCAUCUUCCUUGUGUAUGCUCAGGGUGAUGCAGGCUGGGCUGACACUUCUUGUGCGGGUUUUUCCAGUAUGUGGCGACCUAAAAGCAUUUCCUAGUCCCUGCCUUGUUCCCGUUUGCACACAAAGAGAAGUUGGCCCAGCCUCAUGUGACCCUGAGAUAAGGGACUUUGCAUUCCUUAUCCCUGACCUGUGACGGGAAGCAGAGGAGGCAGCUGGACGCUGCUGAGUGCCAGGACUGUAUUGUCCCUCAGAGGGUCUGUUCUCAGUCUCUGGGAGUCCCCAGGACGGCGCUGCAGUUUUGCCUGUACUGUCAAGAAUCUAGUCAGUAACAGCUUCACCCCCGUUAUUGUGCCAAACUCCUGCACAGGCGUCCUGGCUGCCCAGACAUCUGAGCGUGCUUCUUUCACAGCAGCUUUGGAAUGGACAGAGAAGUUAGAGAAGGACUCCGGCCCCGCCCCUGCCCCACAUCCCACCCCCAAGGAAGCCUGAGACAGAGGGUUAACACCUUUGCAAGAGCAAGGUGCUGUUGGAACAGAUGGGUCUGAUCAUAGGUAGGCAGGAAGAGCAGGGCCUGAGGCUGCCCCAUGGGAGUAGGAGAAAUGGAUGCAAAAACACUGCUUUUCUCCCUCUGGCUGCAGGGUCAAGAGCAAGCCAGUGAUUCACACCCUGGGGGAAUUGGCCUGUCUAUGCUCCAGAGUAGGAGGUGGGAAGUGCAACUUGGAGCUCCAAAGAGCUGGUUAUUGUUCUGCAGCUAGGAGGGUGUUGGGGGGGAACGGGAGGGGGAGAUGGGAGGGGGACGGGACGGGACGGGACGACAACGACGGGACCGGACCUUGUGACAUCCCUAAGCACUACAGGGGCUGAUUAGACAUUACCCACCAUGGUGACUAUUCUCUUCAGAUCAACGCUUUAGGGAGUCAGGAAAAGGGCCUGGAAAACUCACUGCAGCCCCUGAAGAGCAUCAGCUAGUUUAUGGUGAGGAGAGUGGAGAGACACACAUUUGGUCCUUUGCUUUACUUGGCACUGCUUGGCCAAUCUGAAACUUCUCUGUACAGAGAGGCUAGAGAAGCCCAGUGUCACUGCCAACUCGCAGACCAUGAGGGACGGGACCUUCAUGCUUGCUCCUGGUCAGCUCUUUGAAACAGGCUGGAGAGGAUGUUCAGUACCACUGGGACCUCCAUGGCCAGGGGGCAGUUGUCUCCUGUGGGGGAACCACUCUCAAAGUUUCACGGACAUCUGGUGACAGUGAGCACUGCACUGCUGAGAAUCCUGUCAGCCAGAGCUCCAGCUGUGUUUCCAUCAGCCUCUCCCGCUUAGGUAAUGUCUUCUUACUGUGUUUCUCUUAUUUCUGGGCAUCCUUGGUCCAUCUAUCCCUGGCCUGCCUUCCUCUUGGAUCCAAAAGCAGCUGAAGUAAAGUGGGGACAUUGGGGACAAGGGUUUGUAGCAAGGAGUAUUUCCAAGGUAGCAAGAGAUGCAGUCUCUAGAGCUACCAUCCCUGGGCCCCAGCCCUGCCCUUCUAUUAGCCUCAGAUUGGCCAAGCCUCCAGACUAAGCUGGGCUCCUGCUGGUUCCUGGGACUCUGUGAGAGAGGGCCCUUCCCCAUGCUCACUCCGUCUUGCAGAACUCCCCGACACCCAGCUUCUGACAGGAACCUGAUGUGGAAAGUUCUGGUAGCGCCAUGUGAUGCAGACUCAUAUGGUGUUUUGCUGAGGCUCCUUCCUACUCUGCACCAUGAGGCGGAAGGGAUUCUUUUCCUUUUCAUCCUGGGAAUUUUGGAGAUUGAAUUGAUCUGAGCGUGUCUUUAGAGGACCAGAAGAAUACAAACUGGCACCCUGGAGACUCAGAAGUGAAGGAUUCUGCAAGAGGAGCCCUGUGGCUGCUACCCUCUCCUGGCGUGAGUGACAGAGGGACAUUGACUCUGAUUGGGGCAUAGAACCCAUUUCAUUUGCAAACUGAGCUCAAAAUUCCCAAGAAAUGUUUACAGUACUUAUGUUGAAAAAUAAUCUGCUUAUUUUUUUAAAGUGCUCAGAGGAGGAAUCUUACUCAUUUAAGGAAAGUGAAAUAGUUUGAAACAUAAAAAUUAAUAAAUCAUUAAGUAUAAUA